UACGUAGGGUGCAAGCGUUGUCCGGAAUUAUUGGGCGUAAAGAGCUCGUAGGCGGUCAGUCGCGUCUGCUGUGAAAACUCGGGGCUUAACUCCGGGCCUGCAGUGGGUACGGGCAGACUAGAGUGCGGUAGGGGAGACUGGAAUUCCUGGUGUAGCGGUGAAAUGCGCAGAUAUCAGGAGGAACACCGAUGGCGAAGGCGGGUCUCUGGGCCGUAACUGACGCUGAGAAGCGAAAGCGUGGGGAGCGAACAGG
This 253-nucleotide ribosomal RNA is filed under the name uncultured bacterium. RNAcentral describes it as "partial 16S ribosomal RNA". It matches the Rfam family "Bacterial small subunit ribosomal RNA", at positions 524 to 776 of the family's 1533-position model. The record is from RNAcentral.